This 377-nucleotide unclassified non-coding RNA is filed under the name uncultured Parachlamydiaceae bacterium. RNAcentral's name for it is "contains 16S-23S intergenic spacer region". The record is from RNAcentral. Lineage: Bacteria; Pseudomonadati; Chlamydiota; Chlamydiia; Parachlamydiales; Parachlamydiaceae.
UCCUGGUUAACCCAGGCAGUCUCACUAGAGUUCCCACCUUAAAUGUUGGCAACUAGUGAUAAGGGUUGCGCUCGUUGCUGGACUUAACCAAACACCUCACGGCACGAGCUGACGACAGCCAUGCAGCACCUGUGCAGAGUCCCCGAAGGGCUAUACCAUCUCUGGUAUAUCACUCUGCAUGUCAAGCCUGGGUAAGGUUCUUCGCGUUGCAUCGAAUUAAACCACAUGCUCCACUGCUUGUGCGGGUCCCCGUCAAUUCUUUUGAGUUUCACUCUUGCGAGCGUACUCCCCAGGCGGUGUACUUAUCGCGUUAGCUUCGGCACAAUUGGGGUUGAGUCCAAUUACACCAAGUACACAUCGUUUAGGGCAAGGACUAC